Molecule: ribosomal RNA, 490 nt
Filed under: uncultured bacterium
Lineage: Bacteria
Description: partial 16S ribosomal RNA
Rfam family: Bacterial small subunit ribosomal RNA
Source: RNAcentral
AUUGAACGCUGGCGGCAGGCCUAACACAUGCAAGUCGAACGGUAACAGGAAGAAGCUUGCUUCUUUGCUGACGAGUGGCGGACGGGUGAGUAAUGUCUGGGAAACUGCCUGAUGGAGGGGGAUAACUACUGGAAACGGUAGCUAAUACCGCAUAACGUCGCAAGACCAAAGAGGGGGACCUUCGGGCCUCUUGCCGUCGGAUGUGCCCAGAUGGGAUUAGCUAGUAGGUGGGGUAACGGCUCACCUAGGCGACGAUCCCUAGCUGGUCUGAGAGGAUGACCAGCCACACUGGAACUGAGACACGGUCCAGACUCCUACGGGAGGCAGCAGUGGGGAAUAUUGCACAAAGGGCGCAAGCCUGAUGCAGCCAUGCCGCGUGUAUGAAGAAGGCCUUCGGGUUGUAAAGUACUUUCAGCGGGGAGGAAGGGAGUAAAGUUAAUACCUUUGCUCAUUGACGUUACCCGCAGAAGAAGCACCGGCUAACUCCGUG